Molecule: ribosomal RNA, 417 nt
Filed under: uncultured Nitrospira sp.
Lineage: Bacteria; Pseudomonadati; Nitrospirota; Nitrospiria; Nitrospirales; Nitrospiraceae
Description: bacterial SSU rRNA
Rfam family: Bacterial small subunit ribosomal RNA
Source: RNAcentral
UAAGGAAUAUUGCGCAAUGGGCGAAAGCCUGACGCAGCGACGCCGCGUGGGGGAUGAAGGUCUUCGGAUUGUAAACCCCUUUCGGGAGGGAAGAUGGAACGAGCAAUCGUUCGGACGGUACCUCCAGAAGCAGCCACGGCUAACUUCGUGCCAGCAGCCGCGGUAAUACGAAGGUGGCAAGCGUUGUUCGGAUUCACUGGGCGUACAGGGAGCGUAGGCGGUUGGGUAAGCCCUCCGUGAAAUCUCCGGGCCUAACCCGGAAAGUGCAGAGGGGACUGCUCAGCUAGAGGAUGGGAGAGGAGCGCGGAAUUCCCGGUGUAGCGGUGAAAUGCGUAGAGAUCGGGAGGAAGGCCGGUGGCGAAGGCGGCGCUCUGGAACAUUUCUGACGCUGAGGCUCGAAAGCGUGGGGAGCAAACA